UACGUAGGGUCCAAGCGUUGUCCGGAUUUAUUGGGCGUAAAGAGCUCGUAGGCGGUUUCGUAAGUCGGAUGUGAAAACUCAGGGCUCAACCCGGAGACGCCAUCUGAUACUGCGAUGACUUGAGUCUGGUAGGGGAACACGGAAUUCCCGGUGUAGCGGUGAAAUGCGCAGAUAUCAGGAGGAACACCGAUGGCGAAGGCAGUGUUCUGGGCCAGUACUGACGCUGAGGAGCGAAAGCGUGGGGAGCAAACAGG
This 254-nucleotide ribosomal RNA is filed under the name uncultured bacterium. RNAcentral describes it as "partial 16S ribosomal RNA". It matches the Rfam family "Bacterial small subunit ribosomal RNA", at positions 524 to 776 of the family's 1533-position model. The record is from RNAcentral.